AUUGAACGCUGGCGGCAUGCCUUACACAUGCAAGUCGAACGGCAGCAUGAUCUAGCUUGCUAGAUUGAUGGCGAGUAGCGAACGGGUGAGUAAUACAUCGGAACGUGCCCUGUAGUGGGGGAUAACUAGUCGAAAGAUUAGCUAAUACCGCAUACGACCUGAGGGUGAAAGUGGGGGACCGCAAGGCCUCAUGCUAUAGGAGCGGCCGAUGUCUGAUUAGCUAGUUGGUGAGGUAAAGGCUCACCAAGGCGACGAUCAGUAGCUGGUCUGAGAGGACGAUCAGCCACACUGGGACUGAGACACGGCCCAGACUCCUACGGGAGGCAGCAGUGGGGAAUUUUGGACAAUGGGCGAAAGCCUGAUCCAGCAAUGCCGCGUGUGUGAAGAAGGCCUUCGGGUUGUAAAGCGCUUUUGUCCGGAAAGAAAUGGCUCUGGUUAAUACCUGGGGUCGAUGACGGUACCGGAAGAAUAAGGACCGGCUAACUACGUG
This 490-nucleotide ribosomal RNA is filed under the name uncultured bacterium. RNAcentral's name for it is "partial 16S ribosomal RNA". It matches the Rfam family "Bacterial small subunit ribosomal RNA", at positions 30 to 507 of the family's 1533-position model. The record is from RNAcentral.